CGUCAGCGCCUCGCCCGUGGCGGCCGCGCGGAGGAUGGCGCCGUGGCACCUGGGAGCGGGCCGCGCCUUCCCUUCGUGAGGCCGGCAGCCCUCGGCCUCCAGUGGAACGCGCCUGGGUGAUCCAACACGAGGAGAAGCGUCGCGGUGAUAAAAAAUAACUUCAGCCAGCAUUUGCAGGUGCUGCUCAAGUAACAAAUCUUUACAGCCCAAUUUUCUGCGUGCAUCCAGCAGAGCCCUGUGCUGAUGUUGCUGCCAUCACUGCUGUAAUCCUAUGUUAUAAAAGUACUAUGUCACUGAGGAAGUGAUGCAUUUAAACUGCAGAAGAACACCCUGAAGGGUUGCAGUACGAUAACUGCCAGCUUGCUACCACAGUUUGGGCUGCCCUGCUUGCUUCCAUGCAUCACCGUUCUGGUGAUGGACCUCAUGGGACUCCAAGCAACAGAAAGUGGCACAGGAACAAUGGUCUCCAACAACUUCACCACCAAUACUGCUAUGAGUAGAAAUGCAGCCUACUAGCCAUGUGAGAGAAAAGAGGCAACAAAGAAGCUCUAGCAGGUGACACCUUACAGUACUAAAGAGGCAAACAGCAGAAGUUCAAGUUGUUAUUACCUAUAAAGUCCAGGGAGAAUGGAGUUCCAGCUCUAGAUGAGAUUGUUUCUUCAGAUGCUGAGCUACUCAGAAGCAGGAAUCCAUCAUUACUGAGACACAUCUCCACCUGACCCUGCUUGGACUUGGGAAUUGCUGGGGAAUAGGUAUGUUUAUAUAUGCCAAGGAAAUCAUGGAGAGCUUGGGAGGUAAGACCCAUAGCAAUCCACCAGCUCUCUGCCCCUAUGCAAGUACCCUGCAGGUGAGCCUUCCUCCUGCCAGGCCUUCAAGCCAAACAGGAACUUAGUGUUUCUCUAUCUGCUGUCCCUAAAACAAAUAGAAGAAACUCGAGGAGAGGAGAUAACUUAUAGCCUACUGCCAUUUUACGUCUGAAAUCAGGACAGAAAAUGCUUACUGGUAAGUUAAGUAUCAAAGAUCAGCUUUCCUCUUACUUCAGUAUGUUACAGUCUACUAGGUGGAUCCUAAAAAAUUAGGAAAAAGAACAGAAAACUUUACCAAGAACUGCUGAACAGCUGUUUUCAGAAUCAGAACAUGAAGAACAUUGUAGGGACCAAACGUGGAUUCUCCUUAUCUGCAGUUUCUGUAAUUCCUUUAAUAUCUAUACAACAGCAGCUCUACUGCACUUAUGUCACAAGAACAAGUCUUCACACUGACACAUUUUAAAAAUAACUCAUGAGUAAGAUCUUGUUCUCAUUUCUAUAAAACCUCUCCUCCCAAUGAUAAAAACUAGUUAAUAAUUUAACAAAGUAAUCCAAGUGUUCUAAAAAUGGCACAGAGCCAUUUAUAUUUAAAGAUAGUGCUUAGUUAUAGAAGAUUAAUCUGUGAGAAAGGACUAUUGUUUUGUAAAGCAAACACUUCCAAGUCAUCUAUGUAGGCUCCUAACAUCGUUUGCCUGCGAGCGACUGUUGGCCAUUCACUCCUUAUCUUGACCACUCUCAUAUUAGAAAACUGUUUCAUUGAGAAAAGAGUAGUUGCCUGCAGACUAAUUUAUGACUCCACAAGAGGUUAAUGCAGUUUGAUUCAUGCAAUUAAGGUCUUAGUCCAUCAUAUUAAACAGACUCUACCAAAGUCACCCCCUGCAAUUAUUUUUUUCUUAAUCUGAAAUAGGAAAAAAAUGGAGAUUUUAUGUUUCUUUGGUGUAUUCUGGAAGAACUGAAGAUUAUCAAGGAUCUCUAUUUAUUCUGAAUGCCAAUUUUUAUGUAUUAGUUUCAGGUCACCUAUGGCCUGACCCUAAUAAAGCAAAGACUAAGUCUGGCAUCCAGACCAUUCAAACAUCUAAGAAUAAGUGAGUGCGUACAUUGAUUUGAAACUAAAGUCAAAAUUAGUGAGCAUUUUCAAAAUACUGCUUUUAAGCUUCUUACCUCCCUUUCCCCACUUUUAAAACAAGCAUGAGACUAGUUUAUCAUGAGAAAACAUUGUCAAGAAUAAUAACCAAAUAGAAAUGGAAAAUGAAAAAAACCAUGCAUUUUCGUUGUCUGGUUAGUGCAUCCCAACAUCCUCUACAUUUCACCUUGUAGGCAGAAAGCACAAAUAUUUUUAAAUGUUUUGACUGGCACUGACAUCCCAAGAUUUUUAAUAAGUUUUAGUCUAAAUAGUAAUAAAAUUUUAUAACCCAGUCUAUGAAUGCGGAAUACUGAGCUUGUGGAUAACUGAAAGUGAAGCCUGAAAGAAAAAAUUAUGGUUCCAGGGCAUUUUCUGAUUUGGUUUAUAAAUAGAUGGUUUUGACAUAGCAGUCACAAAAAUAAAGCUACAGUUAGUAAGCCUGAGGCAGCUGUGCAGCUGGGAGAAGCACAUACUCUGGCAGCCAAUCUGUGCAAUCGCCUAUGUUGUGAUACAUGCUAUCAAAACACCAGUUAAGAAUACAGCAAGAAUUAGCAUUUCAGCUCAAGGCAGAGUGACAGAAAACAAACUUUGAUUUUUAUGUUAUCCAAUAUGUAAACCAUUGAACAAAAGCAAACAAAUUAGAUUUCUAAUUGGAAGCAGCAGAUAAACUGUAACAAUACAAACAUUUUUGUCCUUCACGUGAGACAGGUACAUUAAUGUGAUGUUUUCCGUAUUUGCAAAGCAUUUUCAGAAUGAUAAACAUAUGGCUUAUUUUACUAGACAGUUGCAUCAAAUGAACAGAAAUAUUUUUGGAAUCUGAAUAGUGGAAUAACUGCUUCAUUGAAUAAGAAAUCCUAUUUAGGGAAUGAUCCAGAUAUUUCUGCAACUGGAGGUUUUUGCAUUAACACCAGCUAAUUUCAGACCAACCACGUGGAUGAAUAUUGUGCCACAGCUGGAACAGUCUGACAGUCUAAAGCAGUAGAAAGCUUUAAAGAUUUCAGUUGAAGCUUAGAGGCAGGACUCCCAGAACUAUUGGAAACCUGCUGGUAAUCUGUAAGUUUAUUUAAGCGCCAACUUAUUCCAGUCAUGUUCUAUUAUCCUUUGCUGAACAGAACAGAUAUGGUAAAUCUGAAAUUUAAUUUGUAUGAAAUUAGGACUCACAUCCAAAGUUUCAAAAACCUCAGUUACUUCAACGUAAUAAUUUGUUGAUCCAUCUUUGAACGAAACAGUUUCUAGCCAACAAAUAAAGCCUAAUGCAUGCUUAAAUUUGAAUGAAUAAAGCCUUGAUGUCACACAGUGAAUAUCAUGAAGGCCUUUUGUGCUAUAUCCAAAAAUCUCUUUAUCACUAAAAAUGUUUCCUUCCCUUUAACUUAGCAUCUCUUCAAACAUUCUUUUUCAGCAGAAUAGACAGACAUGUAUUUUGCAAUCACAGAAGAAACAUUUCGUGCGUGCUGAUAGAUUACAAGGUUGAAAAAGAACAGACAUAUUUCCAUACACUGUUUACUAAAUAAUCUUGAGCAGUUUGAGAUCUUAUGUAACCUUUGCUUAUAUCAUCAGCAUUAAGUUUGAAUAUUUACUCAAAAAUUUAAAAAUCAAGCAAAAAGCAACAACAUAUAGUAUGUAAAUACUCCAGAAUUCAUCAUUUAGAAACAAAAACAUGCUCUUCUCUUGAAAGCACAAAUGUGAGAAAUGGUAAUGAGUGAUAGGCUGCUUUGAAGAAUUAGAAACAUGAAACAAAAUUAAACAUAAGGUUAUAAACCUGGACUGAAUUUCACCACCCAGUCCUUACACAUCCACAUACAGACUGACCAUUUGGAUCGACAAGACAAAUCCACAACUUUAAUACUUCGCAUAAAAUUUCCAGAGGAGUAUGCGUGAGCUGGAAGUUAUGUCCUUCCCCCCUCUCUAGAUAUAAUUCAAGAACUUGGUAAAAAACAUACAGUAUGAUGACAAUGGAUUCACAAGCAAGCUUUCUAAAAAACAUCAAUUCUUUUCCAUUAUAAAGUUGAGAUAAAUUAACAUAUUUACAAAGCAGAAAGACAGCAUUAUCUUCCUACCAAGGACAGACCAAGAACUUGAACUGAUGAUAUCAACAUGCCACCAUACACUAACAAGAAAAUGAAAACAAGUCCCCAUUGUAAAUUUAAAUAUAUCAAGACAGACAAUACAAUUACACACUGUGAAUGUAAAUUCAGCUACCCAACAGAAAUUUAUCUAGUUUUUGCUCAUAACAGAUUUAGAAGAAUGCAAUGGAAAAUGCACUGCCCUGUCCAGUAUUACUGGCACAGCUCUUCUAUAGCACUUUUAUUUACAUCCCUAGCUACUGAAGUAGAUAUCACUGGUGCUGCUUAACGCAGCUUGCCUUUUUGCACCACUGUACCAAUCUGCUUUGGAGAAAGCAAUGGCAGCACAAGUCUGUGAAGGAAUUCUGUUUUAAACCACCUUCCGCAAACCAUUCUCAUCAGAAGCUAUUUAAUCUGAUUAGCAGAAAGUCAAAAUAUAGUUUCUUUUCAAAGGAAAUUGUAAAUUGACUGUAUAAAAAAAAAC
This is a non-coding RNA of Phasianus colchicus (ring-necked pheasant), 4476 nucleotides long. The record is from RefSeq and is a predicted model, not a curated record. Lineage: Eukaryota; Metazoa; Chordata; Aves; Galliformes; Phasianidae.